AGAAUCAACGCUGGCGGCGUGCCUAACACAUGCAAGUCGCACGAGAAAGGGUAGCAAUACCUGAGUAAAGUGGCGCACGGGUGAGUAACACGUGAAUAAUCUACCUCCGAGCGGGGAAUAACUGAGAGAAAUCUUAGCUAAUACCGCAUAACACUUACGAGUCAAAGCAGUAAUGCGCUUGGAGAGGAGUUCGCGGCAGAUUAGCUAGUUGGCGGGUAAUGGCCCACAAGGCGAUGAUCUGUA
Molecule: ribosomal RNA, 243 nt
Filed under: uncultured bacterium
Lineage: Bacteria
Description: partial small subunit ribosomal RNA
Rfam family: Bacterial small subunit ribosomal RNA
Source: RNAcentral